UUGAACGCUGGCGGCAGGCCUAACACAUGCAAGUCGAGCGGAUGAAGGGAGCUUGCUCCUGGAUUCAGCGGCGGACGGGUGAGUAAUGCCUAGGAAUCUGCCUGGUAGUGGGGGAUAACGUCCGGAAACGGGCGCUAAUACCGCAUACGUCCAGAGGGAGAAAGUGGGGGAUCUUCGGACCUCACGCUAUCAGAUGAGCCUAGGUCGGAUUAGCUAGUUGGUGGGGUAAAGGCCUACCAAGGCGACGAUCCGUAGCUGGUCUGAGAGGAUGAUCAGUCACACUGGAACUGAGACACGGUCCAGACUCCUACGGGAGGCAGCAGUGGGGAAUCUUGGACAAUGGGCGAAAGCCUGAUCCAGCCAUGCCGCGUGUGUGAAGAAGGUCUUCGGAUUGUAAAGCACUUUAAGUUGGGAGGAAGGGCAGUAAGUUAAUACCUUGCUGUUUUGACGUUACCAACAGAAUAAGCACCGGCUAACUUCGUG
RNAcentral lists this ribosomal RNA (483 nucleotides) under uncultured bacterium. RNAcentral's name for it is "partial 16S ribosomal RNA". It matches the Rfam family "Bacterial small subunit ribosomal RNA", at positions 30 to 507 of the family's 1533-position model. The record is from RNAcentral.